This 480-nucleotide ribosomal RNA is filed under the name uncultured bacterium. Its description in RNAcentral is "partial 16S ribosomal RNA". It matches the Rfam family "Bacterial small subunit ribosomal RNA", at positions 28 to 507 of the family's 1533-position model. The record is from RNAcentral.
GAUGAACGCUGGCGGCGUGCCUAACACAUGCAAGUCGAGCGAAGCACUUACUUUAGCUUUCUUCGGAAUGACGAAGUUUGUGACUGAGCGGUGGACGGGUGAGUAACGCGUGGGCAACCUGCCCUGUACAGGGGAUAACAGUUAGAAAUGACUGCUAAUACCGCAUAAGCCCACAGCUUCGCAUGAAGCAGUGGGAAAAACUCCGGUGGUACAGGAUGGGCCCGCGUCUGAUUAGCUAGUUGGUAAGGUAACGGCUUACCAAGGCGACGAUCAGUAGCCGACCUGAGAGGGUGACCGGCCACAUUGGGACUGAGACACGGCCCAAACUCCUACGGGAGGCAGCAGUGGGGAAUAUUGCACAAUGGGGGAAACCCUGAUGCAGCGACGCCGCGUGAGCGAUGAAGUAUUUCGGUAUGUAAAGCUCUAUCAGCAGGGAAGAAAGUGACGGUACCUGACUAAGAAGCCCCGGCUAACUACGUG